RNAcentral lists this unclassified non-coding RNA (159 nucleotides) under Ixodes scapularis (black-legged tick). RNAcentral describes it as "uncharacterized LOC8043578, transcript variant X1". The record is from RNAcentral. Lineage: Eukaryota; Metazoa; Arthropoda; Arachnida; Ixodida; Ixodidae.
AAGUGCACGCCUUAAACAAGGAGGGAACGCCGUUUCCAGAGUUCAUCAAAAAGCACUGUGAUUCAGGCACUGACUAUAAAGAAGUGAUGAAGGCGAGUAUGAGCGAGGAAGAGCUUGCUUCGCUAAAGAAGGCUUACGAGGAGUGCACCUCUGCCUAAA